GAUGAACGCUGGCGGCGUGCUUAACACAUGCAAGUCGAACGAUGAACUUCCUUUGAUUUCCUUCGGGUCUGAUUAGUUUGUGACUGAGUGGCGAACGGGUGAGUACCGCGUGGGUAACUUGCCUUGACCAGGGGGAAUACCGUUGGAAACGGCUGCUAAUACCGCAUACGCGCUAGGCAUCGCAUGAUGCAGUGUGAACAACUCCGGUGGUAUUAGAUGGACCCGCGUUGGAUUAGCUAGUUGGGGAGGUAACGGGCGACCAAGGCGACGAUCCAUAGCCUACGUGAGAGGGUGACCGGCCACAUUGAGACUGGGACGCAGCCGAGACUCUUACGGGAGGCAGCAGUGGGGGAUAUUGCAAAGUGGGCGAAAGCCUGAUGGAGCGACGCCGGUUGAGCGCAGAUGUAUGGAGGGAAGUAGAGCUCUAUCAGCAGGGAAGAUAAUGACGGUACCUGAAGAAGAAGCACCGGCUAAAUACGUG
Molecule: ribosomal RNA, 481 nt
Filed under: uncultured bacterium
Lineage: Bacteria
Description: partial 16S ribosomal RNA
Rfam family: Bacterial small subunit ribosomal RNA
Source: RNAcentral